AAGGAUUUAAGUUAAUUAAACUAUCAGCCUUCAAAGUCGAAAAUAGAAGAUUUUCUAAGCCUUA
Molecule: transfer RNA, 64 nt
Filed under: Cryptocephalus cynarae
Lineage: Eukaryota; Metazoa; Arthropoda; Insecta; Coleoptera; Chrysomelidae
Description: tRNA-Trp
Source: RNAcentral